AUUGAACGCUGGCGGCAGGCCUAACACAUGCAAGUCGAGCGGAUGAAGGGAGCUUGCUCCUGGAUUCAGCGGCGGACGGGUGAGUAAUGCCUAGGAAUCUGCCUGGUAGUGGGGGAUAACGUCCGGAAACGGGCGCUAAUACCACAUACGUCCUGAGGGAGAAAGUGGGGGAUCUUCGGACCUCACGCUAUCAGAUGAGCCUAGGUCGGAUUAGCUAGUUGGUGGGGUAAAGGCCUACCAAGGCGACGAUCCGUAACUGGUCUGAGAGGAUGAUCAGUCACACUGGAACUGAGACACGGUCCAGACUCCUACGGGAGGCAGCAGUGGGGAAUAUUGGACAAUGGGCGAAAGCCUGAUCCAGCCAUGCCGCGUGUGUGAAGAAGGCCUUCGGAUUGUAAAGCACUUUAAGUUGGGAGGAAGGGCAGUAAGUUAAUACCUUGCUGUUUUGACGUUACCAACAGAAUAAGCACCGGCUAACUUCGUG
Molecule: ribosomal RNA, 484 nt
Filed under: uncultured bacterium
Lineage: Bacteria
Description: partial 16S ribosomal RNA
Rfam family: Bacterial small subunit ribosomal RNA
Source: RNAcentral